This 75-nucleotide transfer RNA is filed under the name Bacillota bacterium. RNAcentral's name for it is "tRNA-Thr". It matches the Rfam family "tRNA". From Rfam's summary of the family: Transfer RNA (tRNA) molecules are approximately 80 nucleotides in length. Their secondary structure includes four short double-helical elements and three loops (D, anti-codon, and T loops). Lineage: Bacteria; Bacillati; Bacillota. RNAcentral also lists the same sequence under 1 other name. The record is from RNAcentral.
GCCGGCGUAGCUCAACGGUAGAGCAACGGUUUCGUAAACCGUAGGCUAUGGGUUCGAUUCCCUUCGCCGGCUCCA